RNAcentral lists this unclassified non-coding RNA (329 nucleotides) under soil metagenome. RNAcentral's name for it is "partial contains 5.8S ribosomal RNA, internal transcribed spacer 2, and large subunit ribosomal RNA". The stretch from base 1 to 120 matches the Rfam family "5.8S ribosomal RNA", at positions 35 to 154 of the family's 154-position model. The record is from RNAcentral.
GAUGAAGAACGCAGCGAAAUGCGAUAAGUAAUGUGAAUUGCAGAAUUCAGUGAAUCAUCGAAUCUUUGAACGCACAUUGCGCCCCUUGGUAUUCCGAGGGGCAUGCCUGUUCGAGCGUCAUUAUAACCCCUCAAGCUUAGCUUGGUGUUGGGGCCUGCUGUAAUAGAGCAGCCCUUAAAAUCAGUGGCGGUGCCAUUAGGCUCUAAGCGUAGUAAUUCUUCUCGCUAUAGGGUUCUGGUGGAUGCUUGCCAUUAACCUCUAAUUUUCUAUGGUUGACCUCGGAUCAGGUAGGGAUACCCGCUGAACUUAAGCAUAUCAAAAGCGGAGGA